GACGAACGCUGGCGGCGUGCUUAACACAUGCAAGUCGAACGGUAAGGCCCCUUCGGGGGUACACGAGUGGCGAACGGGUGAGUAACACGUGAGCAACCUGCCCUUGACUCUGGAAUAACAGUUGGAAACAGCUGCUAAUACUGGAUAUUCAUCGUCUCCUUCCUGGGGGGUGGUGGAAAGCUCCGGCAGUCAGGGAUGGGCUCGCGGCCUAUCAGCUUGUUGGUGAGGUAAUGGCUCACCAAGGCUUCGACGGGUAGCCGGCCUGAGAGGGCGACCGGCCACACUGGGACUGAGAUACGGCCCAGACUCCUACGGGAGGCAGCAGUGGGGAAUAUUGCACAAUGGGCGCAAGCCUGAUGCAGCAACGCCGCGUGCGGGAUGACGGCCUUCGGGUUGUAAACCGCUUUCAGUAGGGACGAAGGGUGACUGACGGUACCUACAGAAGAAGGACCGGCUAACUACGUG
Molecule: ribosomal RNA, 465 nt
Filed under: uncultured bacterium
Lineage: Bacteria
Description: partial 16S ribosomal RNA
Rfam family: Bacterial small subunit ribosomal RNA
Source: RNAcentral